UUCUUAUCCCGCCUCUUCCCUCCCCGUCUCUUUCAACCAUUACUCUCCCACUUGUAAAAAGCAUCCUACUGUUUGCAUCCAUAUCUACUUUCUGAAUCUUUGAAGCUUCAAUGUCAGAAACGUGCUUUUGCGAUGUAUCUCAGGAUACAACUUUGCCUCACAAAUCAACCUGAUGAGGUCUCUCCUGCGUAUCAUCUUCUUCACAUAACAGGCCAGGGCUUUUUCAGCACCAUGCCUUGUUCUUUCCCAGGUUGCCUCCUGGAGAGGCUGAUGAAGAAUAAGGCGGGCCGGUGGGGGAAGGUGGUUGACAGAAGAUAGAGAGCACAAGUGAACAUACCCAAAAGGCCUGUUUGUGUUUGUGCAGUCUUGUGCUCUUUUUUCUUCUGCCAACAUGAAGUACUUUCUUCCCCAAACUUCUUAUUUAAGCUCGCUGCACCAUAACCUCUUCUUCUUGUCGUCUGACCAGCCAUCUUAUGUCACUAUCACCCAUCAAUGGAGUAACGCCUGCCUGCAAGGUAUGAUCCCGUUGAUGCUUGUUAAUUCUUUUUCCCCGUUAAUUUUGGUGAGAUGUGUAUAAUUGGGGACCGCCACUUAUUUAACUUGCCGUGCUAUAAAAUAUAAGACAGGUCACCAACUAGGGUCCCUUCGCCUUUGCUCAUUACUGACUAGAUUCAGACACGGCGAGAGUAGGGUUGGGCACAGUUAAACGAGGAUGAAAUGUUUUUAGAGGUGUUUGAUAUAUAUAGACUGGGGGAGUUCGUCAAAGAUGUGCCGUCAUUGCAGACAAGAAGCGAGAGGGUUGUUCAAACAUAGAGGCCAGAUCGGAGAAACCUUAAAAGCAUCGUCUAUGCAUAGACACUUUUUUUUUUUUAAAAAAUUUACCUAUGAUACACGGAAUCUGGCGUGGCCAUGGAUCAAAACAGUUGAGUUCUUGGCAUUAUUCCCAUGUUAUUCUCCCUCACCUCACCUGUUUUUGCCUGCGUCUUUAGAGGCUCUAGGCCCGUAUUGUGAUGGUGAUUUUUCAUGUUCGUUCAAAUCUCACUGAUCCACCCUAUUCCCGGAAUCCAUAUCAAAUAAUAUAUGUGUGUCAUGUUUUAGUGCAGUACUCCAGCAUGAUGUUGCUGUGAGGAGCUUUUUUUCUUAAUCUUGCUGAUAAUAUAUGUUUUGAAAUAAAUAAAACAAGACUGGAAUUUGUAUGGCG
Molecule: long non-coding RNA, 1201 nt
Organism: Neltuma alba
Lineage: Eukaryota; Viridiplantae; Streptophyta; Magnoliopsida; Fabales; Fabaceae
Exons: 2
Source: RefSeq, a predicted model, not a curated record